GAUUAUAUGUUGGAAGCUUUUCAAGUGCAAACCAUUGAAGAUCAUCUUCUUCUUCUUCUCUUCUUGAGAAAGAAGGAUUUGUGGAGCAAGAAGAUCUCAUCUCACCCAAUUUAUUCAUAUUUGUUAUUUUGGUUAUGGAGAAUGGAUCAUCAGGCCCUCUGAAGAUAUUAUGAUUUUGUCUGAUAAGGCUCUCUGUUUCUUAAUUCAUCCAUUCGUACCUGCUUUCUUUUUUUGUUAACAUAAUCCUUACAUAAUUAUGGAUUAUAGCUUUUCUUUUUCUGGCCAAGAUUAUAUUUUUUAUAGCUAAAAAAUUUCAAAAAAAGUUCACAAUAAAACUCCCUUAAAUUCUACCUUUUCUGCAUUUGAUUUUGAUUUUAUUUUUUCUUGAUAAGAUCAUGCAUUAAAAGUUUUCACAUAGAAAAUAUGAAUUUAUAUUUGUCCUAUUUUUAUUACAAUAUGACACUUUACUUUGUUACAAUUGAAACAAACAGUUGGAAGUAUCAUAUUACAAAUUCUUACUUACCAAAGAGAUAAUAAUAAAUUACAUGUUACAGCUUUGCUAUUGCACAAAAAAAAAAUAGUAAUAUUAAUAAAAUAUACUGUUAAAAAAAAAAAAAAA
This is a long non-coding RNA of Cannabis sativa, 619 nucleotides long. RefSeq lists it as uncharacterized. The record is from RefSeq and is a predicted model, not a curated record. NCBI's taxonomy places the organism in Eukaryota, Viridiplantae, Streptophyta, Magnoliopsida, Rosales, Cannabaceae. The transcript is spliced from 2 exons.